This 216-nucleotide ribosomal RNA is filed under the name Glomeromycotina sp. RNAcentral describes it as "partial small subunit ribosomal RNA". The stretch from base 40 to 216 matches the Rfam family "Eukaryotic small subunit ribosomal RNA", at positions 686 to 864 of the family's 1831-position model. Lineage: Eukaryota; Fungi; Glomeromycota. The record is from RNAcentral.
GGGUCAGGAGGUUGGUCGUGCCACCGGUACGUACUGGUCUCACUGAUUCCUCCUUCCUGAAGAACCGUAAUGCCAUUAAUUUGGUGUUGCGGGGAAACAGGACUGUUACUUUGAAAAAAUAAGAGUGUUUAAAGCAAGCUAACGCUUGAAUACAUUAGCAUGGAAUAAUGAAAUAGGACGAUCGAUCCUAUUUUGUUGGUUUCUAGGAUUGACGUA